GGGCCCUAGCUUAGUGGUAAAGCAUCUGCUUUGCAUGCAGAAGGUUCCAGGUUCAAUUCCUGGCAUCUCCA
Podarcis raffonei (Aeolian wall lizard) is the source of this 71-nucleotide non-coding RNA. The record is from the annotation of a RefSeq genome assembly. Lineage: Eukaryota; Metazoa; Chordata; Lepidosauria; Squamata; Lacertidae.